UACGGAGGGUGUAAGCGUUAAUCGUCAUCACUCGUUGUAAAGCGCGCGUAGGUGGCUUGAUAAGCCGGUUGUGAAAGCCCCGGGCUCAACCUGGGAACGGCAUCCGGAACUGUCAAGCUAGAGUGCAGGAGAGGAAGGUAGAAUUCCCGGUGUAGCGGUGAAAUGCGUAGAGAUCGGGAGGAAUACCAGUGGCGAAGGCGGCCUUCUGGACUGACACUGACACUGAGGUGCGAAAGCGUGGGUAGCAAACAGG
Molecule: unclassified non-coding RNA, 253 nt
Filed under: uncultured Halomonadaceae bacterium
Lineage: Bacteria; Pseudomonadati; Pseudomonadota; Gammaproteobacteria; Oceanospirillales; Halomonadaceae
Description: contains 16S-23S intergenic spacer region
Rfam family: Bacterial small subunit ribosomal RNA
Source: RNAcentral